This is a small nucleolar RNA of Podarcis raffonei (Aeolian wall lizard), 124 nucleotides long. RefSeq annotates it as small nucleolar RNA SNORA13. The record is from RefSeq and is a predicted model, not a curated record. The transcript has a single exon. Lineage: Eukaryota; Metazoa; Chordata; Lepidosauria; Squamata; Lacertidae.
UGCCUUCAGUGUUGCCCGUUCAUUUUGGUUGCUAAUGAAUGUGGUGUCAGAGAAGGCAUAAAUCAAAUCCACCCACUUGCAGCAUUUUCCUGCUGCAAGUGGGUUUGCUGUAUGUGGGACAUCU